UACAGAGGUCUCAAGCGUUGUUCGGAUUCAUUGGGCGUAAAGGGCGCGUAGGCGGCGAUCACAGUCAGAUGUGAAAUUCCUGGGCUUAACCUGGGGGCUGCAUUUGAUACGUGGUUGCUUGAGUGGGGAAGAGGGUCGUGGAAUUCCCAGUGUAGAGGUGAAAUUCGUAGAUAUUGGGAAGAACACCGGUGGCGAAGGCGGCGACCUGGUCCUUGACUGACGCUGAGGCGCGAAAGCGUGGGGAGCAAACAGG
Molecule: ribosomal RNA, 253 nt
Filed under: uncultured bacterium
Lineage: Bacteria
Description: partial 16S ribosomal RNA
Rfam family: Bacterial small subunit ribosomal RNA
Source: RNAcentral